AGCGAACGCUGGCGGCAGGCUUAACACAUGCAAGUCGAACGGGCAUAGCAAUAUGUCAGUGGCAGACGGGUGAGCAACGCGUGGGAACAUACCUCUUGGUUCGGAACAACACAGGGAAACUUGUGCUAAUACCGGAUAAGCCCUUACGGGGAAAGAUUUAUCGCCGAGAGAUUGGCCCGCGUCUGAUUAGCUAGUUGGUAGGGUAAUGGCCUACCAAGGCGACGAUCAGAGCUGGUCUGAGAGGAUGAUCAGCCACAUUGGGACUGAGACACGGCCCAAACUCCUACGGGAGGCAGCAGUGGGGAAUAUUGGACAAUGGCGCAAGCCUGAUCCAGCCAUGCCGCGUGAGUGAUGAAGGCCCUAGGGUUGUAAAGCUC
RNAcentral lists this ribosomal RNA (377 nucleotides) under uncultured bacterium. Its description in RNAcentral is "bacterial SSU rRNA". It matches the Rfam family "Bacterial small subunit ribosomal RNA", at positions 29 to 433 of the family's 1533-position model. The record is from RNAcentral.